UUUAGCCGGAUGAAAGGAAACUUUCACGUCCGAUUUUUAGGGGGGGGGGGUUUAGAAAAUCCUUGUUUUAAUUAUUCGACCCAUU
This 85-nucleotide non-coding RNA is filed under the name Helianthus annuus (common sunflower). The record is from RNAcentral. Lineage: Eukaryota; Viridiplantae; Streptophyta; Magnoliopsida; Asterales; Asteraceae.